CCAGUAGUCAUAUGCUUGUCUCAAAGAUUAAGCCAUGCAUGUCUAAGUAUAAGCACUUUAUACUGUGAAACUGCGAAUGGCUCAUUAAAUCAGUUAUCGUUUAUUUGAUAGUACCUUACUACAUGGAUACCUGUGGUAAUUCUAGAGCUAAUACAUGCUAAAAACCCCGACUUCAGGAAGGGGUGUAUUUAUUAGAUAAAAAACCAACGCCCUUCGGGGCUCCUUGGUGAAUCAUAAUAACUUAACGAAUCGCAUGGCCUUGCGCCGGCGAUGGUUCAUUCAAAUUUCUGCCCUAUCAACUUUCGAUGGUAGGAUAGUGGCCUACCAUGGUGGCAACGGGUAACGGGGAAUUAGGGUCCGAUUCCGGAGAGGGAGCCUGAGAAACGGCUACCACAUCCAAGGAAGGCAGCAGGCGCGCAAAUUACCCAAUCCCGAUACGGGGAGGUAGUGACAAUAAAUACUGAUACGGGGCUCUUUUGGGUCUCGUAAUUGGAAUGAGAACAAUUUAAAUCCCUUAACGAGGAACAAUUGGAGGGCAAGUCUGGUGCCAGCAGCCGCGGUAAUUCCAGCUCCAAUAGCGUAUAUUAAAGUUGUUGCAGUUAAAAAGCUCGUAGUUGAACCUUGGGUCUGGCUGGCCGGUCCGCCUCACCGCGAGUACUGGUCCGGCUGGACCUUUCCUUCUGGGGAACCUCAUGGCCUUCACUGGCUGUGGGGGGAACCAGGACUUUUACUGUGAAAGAAUUAGAGUGUUCAAAGCAGGCCUUUGCUCGAAUACAUUAGCAUGGAAUAAUAGAAUAGGACGUGCGGUUCUAUUUUGUUGGUUUCUAGGACCGCCGUAAUGAUUAAUAGGGAUAGUCGAGGGCGUCAGUAUUCAGCUGUCAGAUGUGAAAUUCUUGGAUUUGCUGAAGACUAACUACUGCGAAAGCAUUCGCCAAGGAUGUUUUCAUUAAUCAGGGAACGAAAGUUAGGGGAUCGAGACGAUCAGAUAUCGUCGUAGUCUUAACCAUAAACUAUGCCGACUAGGGAUCGGGACGGGAAUUCUAUGAUG
Molecule: ribosomal RNA, 1048 nt
Filed under: uncultured fungus
Lineage: Eukaryota; Fungi
Description: SSU rRNA
Rfam family: Eukaryotic small subunit ribosomal RNA
Source: RNAcentral